This 28-nucleotide small RNA is filed under the name Bombyx mori (domestic silkworm). Its description in RNAcentral is "ovarian small RNA-35158". Lineage: Eukaryota; Metazoa; Arthropoda; Insecta; Lepidoptera; Bombycidae. The record is from RNAcentral.
UGGUCGUUUAGGUCCCAUAGUGGCCUCC